GACGAACCGUGCGAACGUUGUUCGGAUUCACUGGGCUUAAAGGGCGCGUAGGCGGACCCAAAAGUCCGGGGUGAAAUCUUUCGGCUUAACCGGAAAAUCGCCUUGGAUACUGUGGGUCUCGAGGGAGGUAGGGGCAUGCGGAACUUCCGGUGGAGCGGUGAAAUGCGUUGAUAUCGGAAGGAACUCCGGUGGCGAAAGCGGCGUACUGGGUCUUAUCUGACGCUGAGGCACGAAAGCUAGGGUAGCGAACGGG
This 253-nucleotide ribosomal RNA is filed under the name uncultured bacterium. Its description in RNAcentral is "partial 16S ribosomal RNA". It matches the Rfam family "Bacterial small subunit ribosomal RNA", at positions 524 to 776 of the family's 1533-position model. The record is from RNAcentral.